CACCUGGAAGGCAACAAGAGGAGAAGUCCACGCCCUCAUUAGGGUCUUUCUGGAACCUGUUCCCACUCACUUCCCAGGAAUCGGCUCCGCGGUCACCCUCCUCCAAGAAGCCUUCCCUGAUUCGCACCUGCCAGCUGCGGGAGCCGCCCCUCCUCUGGUGCUGACUCACCGGGGACUCACGUCUGGCAUCACCCUUAUCACAGGUGUUCCUGGAAAAUCAGGAGCUGUGGCACCAGCCACCACCCCCACCCACACCUGCCGGAGCACCACCUCCAGGCAGGCAGUCAGGCACCUGGCUGCAGGCCCGCCCAGCGUGGCAGCUCACACCCUCCGUCCCUCGAAUAGGCUGACCUCCAAGCCUAUCUGCUCCGUCGGCGGUCAUCACAGCCCCCAGCUGCAGCGCACACACACCCCUGAGGAGAGGGCGGGUCUCGGGCAUCCCCCGUUCCUGACAAUAAAUGCUCAAUAAAUAUUAACCGUCCUGGCA
This is a long non-coding RNA of Myotis daubentonii (Daubenton's bat), 487 nucleotides long. RefSeq lists it as uncharacterized. NCBI's taxonomy places the organism in Eukaryota, Metazoa, Chordata, Mammalia, Chiroptera, Vespertilionidae. The record is from RefSeq and is a predicted model, not a curated record.